Molecule: non-coding RNA, 93 nt
Organism: Pelobates cultripes (western spadefoot toad)
Lineage: Eukaryota; Metazoa; Chordata; Amphibia; Anura; Pelobatidae
Source: the annotation of a GenBank genome assembly
CUCCAGAUGUUGCUGAACUACAACUCCCAUGAUUCUCUGGGUAUCUAUGUAAUUCAAAGAAUCAUGGGAGUUGUAGUUCAGCAACAUCUGGAG